This 1394-nucleotide ribosomal RNA is filed under the name Vamuna virilis. Its description in RNAcentral is "16S ribosomal RNA". Lineage: Eukaryota; Metazoa; Arthropoda; Insecta; Lepidoptera; Erebidae. The record is from RNAcentral.
AGAUAAAAAUUAAUUAGGAAAAUAUUUAAUAAAAAUAAUUUUAAAUUUUGAAAAUUAAUAUAUUUUAAUUGGGGGGUUAAAGUAUAAUUAAUAGAAAAAAUUAAAAAUUUUAUAGGGGAUUAGUAUUGUGAAAGAAUUUUGAAAUAUAUGAAAAUAAAUUUAUUUAUAAGUAAUUUUAAUUUAAUGUAUCUUGUGUAUCAGAGUUUAUUAAAUAAAAUUUUUUGUUAAAAGAAAUUCUCGAAUUUAAGAGAGAUAAUUAAUUAUUAAAGUUAUUGUUGUAUAAAUAUUUUAAAUAAUUAAUUUGAAAUGAAAUGUUAAUCGUUCUUAAAAAUAUCUAGUUUUUUCAGAAAAAAGUUUAAUUUUAAAUUUAUUAAAAUUAUUAAUAUUAAUUAUAUUUAAUAAAAUAUUUAAUAAAUUUUAUAUUUUAAGGGAUAAGCUUUAAAUUAAAUUAAAUAUAAUAAUAAAAAUUGAAUUUUGAAAUUUUUAUAAUUUAUAUUGUUAAUAAAUUAUAAUUUACUAUAAAUAAUUUCAAAUAUAAUAAAAUUUAAUAAAAUAAUUUAUUUUUUUUUUAUGAAAAAAAAUUUUAAAAUAAUAAUAAAAAUUAAUAUAAUGAUAAAAUUAGUAUAUAAAAUAAAUUAAAAUUAAUAUGAUUAAUUUAAUAAAGUUAUUUAUAAGGAAUUCGGCAAAUAAAAUUUGUAAAUAAAAAUACUCACUUGUUUAUCAAAAACAUGUCUUUUUGUAAAUAAUAUAAAGUCUAAUCUGCCCACUGAUAAAAAUUAAAGGGCUGCAGUAUAUUGACUGUACAAAGGUAGCAUAAUCAUUAGUCAUUUAAUUGAUGACUUGUAUGAAAGAUUGGAUGAAGUAUUAGCUGUCUUAAAAAUAAAUUAUAGAAUUUAAUUUUUAAAUUAAAAAGUUUAAAUAUAAUAAAAAGACGAGAAGACCCUAUAGAGUUUUAUAAUUAAUAUUUUUAUAGAAAAUAAAUAAAUUAAAUGUUUUUAAAUUUAUUAAUUAUUUUAUUGGGGUGAUAAAAAAAUAAAAAUAACUUUUUUUAUUAAUUUUCAUAAAUAAGUGAAUAAAUGAUCCAAUUUUAUUGAUUAUAAGAAAAAAUUACCUUAGGGAUAACAGCGUUAUUUAUUUUUUUAGUUCAUAUAAAAAUUUAAGUUUGCGACCUCGAUGUUGGAUUAAGAUAAAAAUUAAAUGUAGAAGUUUAAAUUUUUGAUCUGUUCGAUCAUUAAAAUCUUACAUGAUCUGAGUUCAGACCGGUGUAAGCCAGGUUGGUUUCUAUCUUUUAUAAGAUAAAAUAUUUUAGUACGAAAGGAUUGAAUAUUUAAAUUAAAUUUAUUUUUUUUGAAUUUUAUUAAAUAAUAUAUAUAUAUAUAUAAUAAAUAUAAUAU